Molecule: non-coding RNA, 819 nt
Organism: Triticum urartu
Lineage: Eukaryota; Viridiplantae; Streptophyta; Magnoliopsida; Poales; Poaceae
Source: RefSeq, a predicted model, not a curated record
CCAUGUUAUUCAUUUACGAUACCUAUACGUAUGUGGUACACAAUCUGAAAUAGUAGAAGGGGAAAAUAAAGCAUUAAUGUGGAGUAUGUUCCAAUGGAAAUCUUCAGGAACACCUUGAAGGUCUGAGUGCAAUUUUUCUUUAGUUCUCUGUGAGCUUAAAAAUGCAACUGAUGUGGCCCAUGCAACUGAAAUUAAAAACAUGGAGAAGAAUCAUAAAAGAUCUUGCUGAAAAUGCCCUCGUUCCGCACUUCGUGUGGACAGGCAGCGCCCUUUACCUUUGAAGUCUCGAAAAAUGGUCUGGGUGAUGCGGGUGCCUCAAUGCUUGAUGCCAUGUUCUGUAAGAGGCCAAGGUUGUAUUUGGGUGUCCACGCGCUACAGGGAAUUACUGUGCGGAGUAGUAAGAAUUGAUUUAAACGUAGAGCCUAGACUCGCACUCCAUGAGCAUCCAUGGCCGGCGAGACGGGACCCUCGACCCUCGGCCUCUGUUGAGAAGGAUCGUUCCACUGUGUCCGAUUUGUAGUACAGAGCAAUCUCAUUCCUCUGAAGUUCCUAUUGGGCAAAAUGGGCAAGAUGUGUUUGGUCAGUGGUGCUUUGUUUUUUAGGCUAUGGCUAUGAUAACUUGAUGACACCCCUUUGUAGUACAGAGCAAUCUCAUGCAUUUGUCCUCCAUCUUCAGGAACAUUUAUUAGUGUACAAUGGCCAAGCAAUUGUUUAAAAAAAUAAGAAACCUGGAAUUGAAUUGCUAAAACAUGGAAUUAUUCUGCUUAUUUGUAGGUUAAUGUAUGACUAUCACGUUCCCCACCAAGUGAAAUGUGCUAU